Physeter macrocephalus (sperm whale) is the source of this 4922-nucleotide RNA transcript. It is a transcript of the gene named myeloperoxidase, with no coding region annotated. Lineage: Eukaryota; Metazoa; Chordata; Mammalia; Artiodactyla; Physeteridae. The transcript has 2 exons. The record is from RefSeq and is a predicted model, not a curated record.
GAUUAAAGGACACAUAUGAAAACACCUGGCAGAUACUAAGUGCCUGACAAGGGUCACUUGCCUUCCAUCCCCUCUUUCCCAGGCUUGCUGACCUUUCUACUGAUACUUUCCUGUCCACCGGGAAUGGUACUGGGAGGUUGAAACAGGUGGUUCUAAAGUGCCUGGCGCACAGAGGCUGUUCAGUAAAUGCUUCUCCUUUCCUUCAUCUCAUCAUCACCCUUGGCUCCUUUGCACACUCCCUCUUCUUUUUUUUUUUUGCGGUACGCGGGCCUCUCACUGCUGUGGCCUCUCCCGUUGCGGAGCGCAGGCUCCGGACGCGCAGGCUCAGCGGCCAUGGCUCACGGGCCCAGCCGCUCCGCGGCAUGUCGGAUCUUCCCGGACCGGGGCACGAACCCGCGUCCCCUGCAUCGGCAGGCGGACUCCCAACCACUGUGCCACCAGGGAAGCCCCUCCCUCUUCUUUAUAGCUCUAUCACAGCUCACCUGCUCUCCUUAUCCUCGCUUAUCCAUGGGGGGGUGUUCUCUCAACUUUUUUGGAAAUGUUUAAAUGCUUUAUUUAUUUAUUUAUUGGCCGCACUACGUGGCUUGCGGAAUCUUAGUUCCCCGACCAGGGAUCGAACCUGCACCCACUGCAGUGGAAGCACAGAGUCCUAACCACUGGACCGCCAGGGGAUUUCCCUUCUCUCAACAUUUUUUUUUUUUUAAAUAAAUUUAUUUAUUUUAUUUAUUUAUUUUUGGCUGCGUUGGGUCUUCGCUGCUGCCCGCGGGCUUUCUCUAGUUGCGGUGUGCGGGGGCUACUCUUCGUGGGGGGGUGCGGGCUUCUCAUUGCGGUGGCUUCUCCUGUUGCGGAGCACGGGAUCUAGGCGCGCAGGCUUCAGUAGUUGUGGCACUUCGGGCUCAGUAGUUGUGGCUCGCGGGCUGUAGAGCGCAGGCUCAGUAGCUGUGGCGCACGGGCUUAGUUGCUCCGCGGCAUGUGGGAUCUUCCCGGACCAGGGCUCGAACCCACGUCCCCUGCAUUGGCAGGCGGAUUCUUAACCACUGCGCCACCAGGGAAGUCCCUCCUUCUCCCAACUUUUGGUGCUCCAGCAUCCCCAUUGUCUCUCCAAGACAUAAACACACACACACCCACACGCACACGCACACGCACACGCACACGCAUGCACAUGCACACUCCUUGUUAAUACUCCUUGACCCUGGAGGGGAGAGAGUUGCUGGUGCUGAGGAUGAGUUUUCAAUUUGCACUAAGAAAGUAAGUGAGAUUCAUUUAAACCUCAGAGGAAAUUCCAGAGUCUAGAAUCUAGAGUGGGACUGUUCCAUCUCUUCUCUUUUCACUGGGAGAAAGCAUCUAGGGUGGCCCUUUUCCAUUUUGCUUCCCCUCCUCCUACAGGCAAUAUAUUGAACCCUACUGUGAGCCAGGCACUUGCUGGGCACUGAGUAAUUUCAAGAGCAAUGAGAUACAACCCUUGCCCUCUAGGAGCUAGUAAGUUUGUAGGAGAAAUGGGACCAUGGGUAACAAGGGCAAGGGAGCUAUUGCAAGGACUAACAAAGCCCUUUUUAAAUGUAAUACUUUAGGGCAGAGAGCAGCAUAAUUACCCGUAAUUUACAUUUGAGGAACUGGGGCUCAGAGAGGUUAAUAACUGGCCCAAGGGCACACAGCAGGCAAGCACUAGAGCUCUGUUUAUGCCACUCGAUGCCACUCUGUGAGACUCAGCUCCAGUGCUGUGAGAGGCAAAUCCCUGGCCGUAUACGAGGGAGGGAUCCCCCGAGUCAGGAGCAGGCGAAAAAUCUGCUGGGCGGGGUGAGUGGAGAGGCUGCUCUGCGUGACUUUUCUUUAGAUCAUCACUUACCGGGAUUACUUGCCCCUGGUGCUGGGGCCGGUGGCCAUGAGGAAGUACCUGCCCCAGUACCGCUCCUACAAUGACUCGGUGGACCCGCGCAUCGCCAACGUCUUCACCAACGCCUUCCGCUAUGGCCACACCCUCAUCCAACCCUUCAUGUUCCGCCUGAACAAUCAGUACCAGCCUAUGCAGCCCAACCCUCGUGUUCCGCUCAGCAAGGUCUUUUUUGCCAGCUGGAGGGUUGUGCUGGAAGGUGAGCAGGACCUAGGCCAGGAGUGAGUUAGCUGGCAGCCGAGGGUGGGAUGGGGGUGGGCUUGGUCACAGGGAGCUAGGGUGGAACAAAUCCUCCGUCCUUCCAUCUUUGGGCAUCUGAUCUGACUUUCCAGCCUCAGUUCACCUGACUCUGCUUGCACAUCUGAUAACAAAGAGUCGGGGGGAGAUGGCUUGCAAGGAGCUGGCUCCUUCCUGGGUGUUGUAUUGAAUAAUUCUCAGUGACCCAGGAGGUCAGGGGCUGGGAGCACCUGAGCCUUGCCAGUCUGCAUGGCAUUACCCCCGGAGACCUCAAAGCCUCAGUGAGGUCCUGCCCGCUGGGGACACCUUGACACCAGAAGCCGCGUGUGCCCAGCCCUCUUCUGCAGUCCCCCCGGUUCUACCUGACUCCGGUCUGAGCUCUGAUACUGAGCCAGAUCCUUCCCCCAGCCUUGCUCCUCUUGCCCCAGGUGGCAUCGACCCCAUCCUCCGGGGCCUCAUGGCCACCCCUGCCAAGCUGAAUCGCCAGAACCAAAUCGCGGUGGAUGAGAUCCGGGAGCGGUUGUUUGAACAGGUCAUGAGGAUCGGGCUGGACCUGCCCGCUCUAAACAUGCAGCGCAGCCGGGACCAUGGCCUCCCAGGUGAGGGGCUGGAGGAGCCUCCCAGGUGAGGGGCUGGAGGAGCCUCCCCGGCCCCGCCCCUCCCCACCUCCCACUCCAGGGCCUGCCCUCUCCAGUGCCCCCAGCUGCCCAGGGCUCCCCCGAACCCCCAGAAUGUUGCUCUUAGGAUGCGGUCUGAGAUCAGGCCCCUACCUCUCCCUGGGCCCAUCUGCCCCAUUUCCAGCACCUCCCGCCUCCUUGGUGUUGCUGUAACCCUCCAAGUUAGAGCAUCACCGUAAUAACCACAGCCCCCGCCCACAGUCUGAAAAUCUGUCCCCAUCUCACUUCACUUUGCUUCAUUUUACAUGAAUUCUGAGGGGAAGAGAUUAUUAUCACCUCCGUUUUACUGAUGAGGAAACCGAGGCUUGGAGAAAUUCAGAAUCUGCCCAGGUUCUCCAGCCAAGUCCAUGACAGAGCUGGAAUCGGAGCCCAGAUCAGCCUCAUGCCACGCCCGUGCCUGUGUUAUAAGAUAGCUGGUGUGGCUGAUUCUUCUAGACACACUGCGCCCAUCACGGGUCUGAGAUCUCCACAGGGGGCCGGGAGAUGCUCCUAUUCUUGGACCCAGCAGCAGUUAUGGCAAUUUAGGAUUUACCUUAGGGUGGGAAGGGUACAAUGCCUGGAGGCGCUUCUGCGGGCUUCCGCAGCCCAGCACGGUGGGCGAGCUGGGCACGGUCCUGAAGAACCUGGACCUAGCGAGGAAGCUGAUGGCCCAGUACGGCACGCCCAACAACAUCGACAUCUGGAUGGGUGGUGUGGCCGAGCCCUUGAACAGCAAUGGCCGCGUGGGCCUGCUUCUCGCCUGCCUCAUCGGGACCCAGUUCAGGAAGCUCCGCGACGGCGAUCGGUGAGGACAGAGGCCGAGGGGCUCAGGCCCGCUGCGUGGCGGUGGGCCUGUCCCUGAGCCUCGGGGGCCCCAGCUUCCUCCUGCUAGAAGGAGUGCGUUGUGGGGAGCCUCACGGUCAUCCCUAACGUGCCCUGAAUCUGUUGGGGGCGCGGCAAGGAGGGACCCGGACCCUUGGUUGUAAAGGAGGGAAGAGAGAAAAUGCCACUCGUAGUCACUUCUCCGGGUCCCGGGCUGCCGCCACGGCACCGCCGGUCUCUGUUGAAAGGUCCCAUCCUUGCUUUCCCACGGCUGCUCCUACUGUCAUUUCCCUGGGGUGACAUCUAUCACACCCAGUUCUACCCUAGCCUGAAUCGCGCCUUUGGGAUCAUUUUUAAAAGGUGUCCCACUCCGGGUGGACAAAUUAUAAACCACCCUCAAGAGCCUUUCUUCCCACGUGGAUGUAGCCCUGGCUACAUUGUGAAUGAGUGUGGGCCUGGCUCCCCGUCUGUCAUCAGCGGUGCCCGGAGGCUGCUGGGGCGUGGGCGGGGGAGGCAGCUGGGCAGCUGUGAGCGGCGCUCUAUUUGUUUGAACCCCCCUGGGCUGCCUGAGGGGCUGGAGCUCCCCCGUGCUGGGGGGCCGGUGUCUGCCGUGGUCCUCUGUCAUCCGGGAGCAGCUCCAGCCGGUGGACGCCCUCCCGGCCCAGGAGGGCCUCAGGUACAAUGGCCAGGGGUGUUCCCGUGCAGGUUUUGGUGGCAGAACAAGGGCGUGUUCAGCCCGCAGCAACAGCAGGCCCUGGCCAGGAUCUCCUUGCCCCGCAUCAUCUGCGACAACACAGGCAUCACCGUCGUGUCCAAGAACAACAUCUUCAUGUCCAACACGUUCCCUCGGGACUUUGUCAACUGCAGUGCACUCCCUGCGCUGGACUUGGCUUCCUGGAGGGAGAGGGACUAGAGACUGGGUAAGGGGGUGCAGUGGUGAGGUGAAGGUUGGGCAUACCUGGGCUGGCCGGUUGGAACCACAGAGAUCUCCCUUCCCUGGGUGAGCUCAUUCCUGUUCUGGGUGCCAGCCAGAAAAACCAAUGACUCGACAUUCAUUCGUGUGUGUGUGUGUGUGUGUACGUGUGUACGUGCGCAGUGAAUAUAAAUUGCAUUGUGUGUGUAUGUGUGUGUGUUGUGUGUGAACAUGGGUAGUAUUUUGUGUGCUGUGUAUGUGUGAGUGUGUGUUUGCUGUUUAUGUACUAAGUAUGGAAGGCAGCAGAGUGGAUUGGUGAGGAACACAAGCUCAGGAGCUAGACCGCUUGGGUUCAAACCCUGCCUCUGGGGCUUCCCUGGUGGCGCAGUGGUUGAGAGUCCGC